This 163-nucleotide small nuclear RNA is filed under the name Microtus ochrogaster (prairie vole). RNAcentral's name for it is "U1 spliceosomal RNA (ENSMOCG00000006279.1)". It matches the Rfam family "U1 spliceosomal RNA". Rfam says of the family: U1 is a small nuclear RNA (snRNA) component of the spliceosome (involved in pre-mRNA splicing). The record is from RNAcentral. Lineage: Eukaryota; Metazoa; Chordata; Mammalia; Rodentia; Cricetidae.
AAGCUCCAGCAACUGCGGAGAUACCAUGAUCCCAAAGGUGGUUUUCCCAGGGUGAGGCUUGGCCAUUGCUCUCCGGAUGUGUUGACCCCUGUGAUUUCCUCAAAUGUGGGGAGACUCGACUGCAUAAUUUGUGGUAGUGGGGGACUUCAUUUGUGCUCUCCGA